AGAGGGAUAGCUGGGUCAAUGGUGGUUCUAUUCCUAAUUUUCUAAGAAAUUUCCAUACUGCUUUCCAUAUUGGCUGCACCAACUUGCAAUCCCACCAGCAAU
This 102-nucleotide microRNA precursor is filed under the name Marmota monax (woodchuck). The record is from RNAcentral. Lineage: Eukaryota; Metazoa; Chordata; Mammalia; Rodentia; Sciuridae.